RNAcentral lists this long non-coding RNA (2077 nucleotides) under Mus musculus (house mouse). RNAcentral's name for it is "long non-coding RNA chr4:156000835-156002912". The record is from RNAcentral. Lineage: Eukaryota; Metazoa; Chordata; Mammalia; Rodentia; Muridae.
UGGCUAGGAGUAGAGGGCUGACUCUGUCCUGGGUGAGACUUGGGAUCUGGUGCGCUCAAGUCGAGGCAGGGAGGACAUGAAUCCAGCAAGAGAAGGAGCAGCCUUUGUCAAGGCCUUGAGUCACAAAAGCUAGGCAAUGACACCCACUACACUCAGUGGUGCCCUGGGACCUCAAGAGUGAUGUCACUUCCAGGUGGAGGCAUGGACAGUCUGGUUUGGAGGUAAUGUUAGGCAUACUGGUCUUUGGGGCAUGGAGCACACAGGACUCAGAGAAAACUGGGAAGCCCUCGUGGCAAUUGUCAGGAAGGGAAGUCUGGAUAACUAACUAGCUUGUAAAGCAUAAAUAAAGGAUUUUACUCAUUACUGCCUCGAGUCCAAGACCCCUUCCCCUUCCCCUCUUUCCUUGUCCAUAUAGUGAUUCGUUCACAGUGCUUUCUGGCUCUGUAGAGGGUUAGGACUUGUGGUGUCCUGUAAUUCUCCAUAGUCAUGCAUACAGUUCUUGGCAGAUGUGCACACUGUAACACCUGUGCCCUACUGUCUCAGUCUGUCUGUGUGCAGAUGUGCACACUGUAACACCCGUGCCCUACUGUCUCAGUCUGUCUGUGUGCAGAUGUGCACACUGUAACACCCGUGCCCUACUGUCUCAGUCAGUCUGUGUGCAGAUGUGCACACUGUAACACCCGUGCCCUACUGUCUCAGUCUGUCUGUGUGCAGAUGUGCACACUGUAACACCCGUGCCCUACUGUCUCAGUCUGUCUGUGUGCAGAUGUGCACACUGUAACACCCGUGCCCUACUGUCUCAGUCUGUCUGUGUGCAGAUGUGCACACUGUAACACCCGUGCCCUACUGUCUCAGUCAGUCUGUGUGCAGAUGUGCACACUGUAACACCUGUGCUCUACUGUCUCUGUCUGUGUGCAGAUGUGCACACUGUAACACCUGUGCUCUACUGUCUCUGUCUGUGUGCAGAUGUGCACACUGUAACACCCGUGCUCUACUGUCUCAGUCUGUCUGUGUGCAGAUGUGCACACUGUAACACCCGUGCCCUACUGUCUCAGUCAGUCUGUGUGCAGAUGUGCACACUGUAACACCCGUGCUCUACUGUCUCAGUCUGUCUGUGUGCAGAUGUGCACACUGUAACACCCGUGCUCUACUGUCUCAGUCUGUCUGUGUGGCUGACUUCAAUAGAGGCCACCUGCAAAGUAGUACCUCAUACCUUUCUAGCAUCACAGAAAUCCUGGAGACAUACUGACCAUGAUGACCCAUGUGAAGUACAGUGAUGACCAGUAUUUUAGUUCUGUACUUUUCUUUUCUUCUCUAGUUUUUUUUUUUUCUUUUUUCUACCAGGCUGGCCUCAAACUCAGAGACCGAUCUGCCUGACUCCUGAGUGCUGGGAGUCGAGGCAUGUGCACCACCGUCUAGCUUUUUUUUUUUUUUUUUUUGACAAGAUUUCACACUGUAGGUGAGGUUGGCCUUGAAUUUGCUGAAGUUUCCCUUCCUCAGCUUCUCCAGUGCUGGGAUUGUUGGUGAGAGGAACCCUAAAUGGCCAAGUUCUAUUCAUUCUUAAAUUUCUUCAAAUUUCUCCUCCUAAAGCAAUGUCUGCCUUUCCCCCACCUUACUGUGUUUUGUGUUUCCAUUAGUUGCGCUUCAUUUCCUGCUGCUUACUGGAGGGCCCUUGUCCUGUUCCUCUGGUGAGACCAGUAUAUGCCUGUCCAGGUUGUAGGAAGUUUUGAAGAUGCUUUUCAGAGCUUCAGGGAGUCUGGUGCCCUCACAGCAAUCCAUCUGUGACUCCUUUGGGAUGUAGUCUCACUGUGGCCAUUUUACUCUGGUGAUGAACAGUGAUGUGGGAAUAAACCCUUUCAUUCCUAACUUGCUUUUUGGUCAUGGUGUUUCAUUGCAGCAAUAGAAACCCUAAGACUUGGGCUGGAGAGAUGACUUAGCAGUUAAGAGCAUUGACUGCUUUUCCAGAGGUCCCGAGUUCAAUCCCCAGCACUCACGUGGUGUCUUGCAACUAUCUAUAAUGGGAUCCAAUGCCCUCUUCUGGAGUGUCUAAGAUAGCAACAACAGUGUACUCAUAUAU